GGCCGGGGCGGCGCGGGGCGGCGCGGGAGGCCCCCGGCGGCCGAGGGGAGCUGCGCAGGAGGCCGGCGCCCGGCCCGGCGAGCGCGCGCGCGGGGGUGUCCUCGCUCGGUGCGCGCGAGUGACUCACUCCGCUUCGCCCGGGCGCCGCGGGGGAAACAGGAAACUCCUCGCCAACAGCUGGGCAGGACCUCUCGCCGCCCGAAAGCCUGCUCCCGCGGCUCGGCCUCCAGCCCUCCUCUCCCCCGCCUGCCAAUCACGUCCCCGAGACCGGCCCCUCCGAGGGAUUUGGCGAACUGGCGGCCGCCCCCGGCGCCCUCGGGAGCUCCCGGCCCCGAGGCUUCGCCCCGGCGCCCCCGGGGCACGCGCUCCGCUCGGGGCAGCCGCGGGGCGCGCAGAGGGGCACACUCUUCCGGGCACCCCCUCGGAGCAUCCUCCGCCUUGCCCCAGGUGCCCCGGGGCCGUGUCUGCGGACCCCCGAGUGCCCGACGCCCGGGUGCGUCCCGAGACGGGAGUCGCGAGCACAGUGUUUUGUGUGUGUUUGCUUCGGGGCCCGCAGCCUGUACGGCCGCACUAAACUUUGCUUUCGGUUGCGCGUAUGCACACACCGCCGCUUUGCGAGAUGUUCUUCUCAGCUGCAGGUCGAAGUCCGGAAGUUUUGUUUUGUUUUGUGUUGUUGCAACCCCGCCCUUGACUGUGCAUCUCCACCACCUGAGUAUCUUGCUUAAAACGCGGAUUUUGACCCGGGAUGUCCGCCCGAGGAAAACACUACUUCCCGGCUCUGGUGUUCAGGAUGCUGGAAGUGCAGUGGAAUCGGAAGCACUGGGCAUCUUCUUGUUGACCAAACAGCCUUGCAAAGCUGGAGCCACGUUAACCAUGGAGGAAAGUUGUGUUCAGAAUCUGCCUCCUUGCCAUUUCCUCCACUGCCACCCCACCUGUGCCACUGCCAUCCCUCGGACAGGAGUCUCCCAACCACCCAUCCCCAGUCCAGGCCAUCCUGGGCCCUGUCACCCAAUUUCUCAACUCAGAACUAAAGGCCAUUUUUCAAAAUGCAAACCUAAUUAUACCAGCCCUCUGAUUAAAUUCAUUCGAUGGUUUCCCACUGCUCUUGAGAUGGAGGUUAGAAACCGGAUCCCUCAAUGGCUGUCCCUCUCUGGUAACCUUUCUUUAGGCUUCUCUUCCUCUCCUGCUGAUAGCCUUCUCCAAAUUCAUACAGCACACCCACUAUUCCUCCUGCAUAGAGCCUUCCCCACGGACCCCAUCCUUUUCUCUGUCCCUCCUUUCUUCUUCACACAGACAACUCCUGGUCUUGCUUUGGGAUAUCCUGACUUCCUUGAUGGACAAGCUUUCCCUGACCUCCCUGAUUGAUCUUUUAUUAUAGGUUCUCUUGGCACCCUUCGCUUCUCACUUUUAGCCCUUACUACAGCUGUGGUUUUAUGAUUAUUUUGUGUCAUUCAUUCACUUCUAUUCCUCUCUUCCACUCAAGUCCAAAUUUUUUUUUGAGGACAGGGAUUAAAUAUUUUCCCUCCACUCACUAUUACAGCCUUAGUACCUAGCACAUAACAGGUGUUCAGUAAAUGUCUGUUGGAUGAAGGAAAGAAUGAGGUAAUAAAGAUUCAGAAGAAUGUUCGACUUAAUCAUCCUCGCUAUUUCACAACUCUGGAGAAGGCAUUCUAUUACCUACUAAACUGAGAUGUAAACAGGUUAGAUUUUAGCUGAGGGUGAUGUCACUAUUACUUCCUUUUCUUUAAAAAGGAGAAGUGUGUGAGCUUUUUUCUUUUUUUCUAAAUUUGCCCAAGUUCCUCUGGGCAGCAUACAUAUACUUCCUUACUCCCCCAAAUACACUGAGAGCCAAAUAAAAAAGCCCAAGGGAUUCCAAAGGCGUUCUUUCCUACACUUAUUGCAAAGACAGAUGUUUGACACUGCUAGAGGCCAGGUGUGAGAUAUUCAAUCCCAUGGUGAAGUAUUUAACUGGUGGUCUUUGUCAUCAAUGUAUCACAAACGUUGAUUUUAAUUUUGUUUGCCUUUAACAUUUCUGAUUUAAUCCCCGUCUCCUGUGAAAUUGAGAGUCUGAAUUCAGCAUUCAGUGCCAACUCCUCCUUUAGAAGCUGUCACAGUAAAAUCAGAGGAAACACACCUAUCGCAAUUGGACAACCUUAAAAAUUUGUCAAUAUGAACUUCCUUUUGGGAUUCUCGCUGAAAGAGAAGUCUGGUACUCUGGAUUGAAACAUUGUUUUCACAUAGAGAGUUCUAUAUUUGACUCAAUAUAAUUUUCAGCUAAUAUACAUAUGCAAAAAUUGGGCCAUUUGCGGAUAGAAACAAAAAUUAAAAGCUCAACUCGGGACUUAAAAAACAAAGAGAGUAAUUUUUAGGCCCUUACCAAGUUGAAAAACAAUAAAAACCAAGUUGAACCAAAGUUAAACAGCUUGAGCGUCUCCAUAUUUCCAGUUUUACGAAAUCUGAACACAUGCACAGACACACAAAACAAUUAGACUGAAUCAAAAUGUAGUUAAUUUAAGCCCUGUAUUUUCCAGUUGUGAUGAGGCAAGAACUUUCUACUCUCCUGAACUUCUUGACAUGCAGCUGUUGAGGUUACUGGCAACCAAAGCAGUUGAUGGGGAGACUCCUCUCCAUAUAAAUCAAGCAUUUUCCAUUCUCAGCUCUUGACCAAUUUCCUUUCUAUUGUGAAGCAGACCAGUGAGCACUGAGACAAUAGUAAAAGUGUGAGGAUCACUCCCCCUUUCAGAGUCAUACACAGGUUAGUUCCUCAGGGAAAUGGUUUGUGACUCCUCCAGCUUAAACUAAUCCCUCCUCUCCCAAAGAAAACCUGAGGAGCAUUUAGUUUAUUUCACCUAUUUUUAAAAUGUUUAGCCCAUUCUGACAUGGAGUGCAUUAUAAUUAUUCAUUGUUUUCUAGAAUCCCAUCCCACCAAUUGUGAAGUCCUUGGAAGCAUAGAUUAUUCCCUUUUCAACUUGGAACCACACUAGGUGCCCUAUAGUACUUAAUGUAUGUUUCCUGUCUUCAAUAAAGGGGAAAAAAAUGAGGGUAUCUGGUUUUCUAAUCCAAACCUUUGUUUGCAGUUCUUCACAGUUAUUAAUAAAACCUGAAAAUAUACAACAUGUUUAGAGAAAGCAUGAAUAGUUGCUUUUUGAAAAAACAUAGCUUUGUUUUAAAUUACAAAAAUAAUAUAUGGUAACUGCAG
Molecule: long non-coding RNA, 3199 nt
Filed under: Canis lupus familiaris (dog)
Lineage: Eukaryota; Metazoa; Chordata; Mammalia; Carnivora; Canidae
Description: lncRNA (ENSCAFG00000054105.1)
Source: RNAcentral